GUGUUGCUGCCGGAGCAGACUUCUGAUUCAAUUACUACUCCAGGAAAGAACUUAGAAAGUUUCCCAGGAUUGUUCUGACAGAUUACUAUAGCACUUAUAGGUAAGACGAAUUUUGGGUGGAAGAUUUUGUGGAUGGGUUGGUGUUCCCUCCCACCACUGGAAGUCCUACCUGGCUACA
Rattus rattus (black rat) is the source of this 178-nucleotide long non-coding RNA. RefSeq lists it as uncharacterized. Lineage: Eukaryota; Metazoa; Chordata; Mammalia; Rodentia; Muridae. The record is from RefSeq and is a predicted model, not a curated record. The transcript has 3 exons.